CUAUGUCUAAAAAGCAUCAACUCAGGGAUUGGAGCCCUAAUGUUGGAAAAAGGCGACUAGGGAAUGGAGGCCCUAUGUCUAAAAAGCAUCAACUCAGGGAUUGGAGCCCUAAUGUUGGCAAAGGGCGACUAGGGAAUGGAGGACCUAUGUCUAAAAAUAUCAACUCAGGGAUUGGAGCCCUAAUGUUGGCAAAAGGUGACUAGGGAAUGGAGGCCCUAUGUCUAAAAGGCUCAACUCAGGGAUUGGAGCCAUAAUGUUGGCAAAAAAGGCGACUAGGGAAUGGGGUCCCUAUGUCUAAAAAGCAUCAACUCAGGGAUUGGAGCCCCAAUGUUGGCAAAACGCGACUAGGGAAUGGAGACCCUAUGUCUAAAAAUAUCAACUCAAGGAUUGGAGCCCUAAUGUUGGCAAAAGGCGACUNNN
RNAcentral lists this long non-coding RNA (420 nucleotides) under Nicotiana tabacum (common tobacco). RNAcentral describes it as "long non-coding RNA (NTAB_LNC014848)". The record is from RNAcentral. Lineage: Eukaryota; Viridiplantae; Streptophyta; Magnoliopsida; Solanales; Solanaceae.